UCGACCUCAAAUCAGGUAGGACUACCCGCUGAACUUAAGCAUAUCAAUAAGCGGAGGAAAAGAAACUAACAAGGAUUCCCCUAGUAACUGCGAGUGAAGCGGGAAGAGCUCAAAUUUAAAAUCUGGCGUGCCUCUGGUCGCCCGAGUUGUAGUCUGGAGAAGCGUUUUCCGUGCUGGACCGUGUACAAGUCCCUUGGAAUAGGGCGUCGUAGAGGGUGAGAAUCCCGUCUUUGACACGGACUGCCAGUGCUCUGUGAUGCGCUCUCAAAGAGUCGAGUUGUUUGGGAAUGCAGCUCAAAAUGGGUGGUARAUUCCAUCUAAAGCUAAAUAUAGGCGAGAGACCGAUAGCGAACAAGUACCGUGAGGGAAAGAUGAAAAGCACUUUGGAAAGAGAGUUAAACAGUACGUGAAAUUGCUGAAAGGGAAACGCUUGAAGUCAGUCGCGUCUGCCAGGACUCAGCCUUUUGGUGCAAUUUCUGGUGGAUGGGCCAGCAUCGAUUUUGACUGUCGGAGAAAGUUGGAGGGAAUGUGGCACCUUCGGGUGUGUUAUAGCCCUCCAUUGCAU
This 565-nucleotide ribosomal RNA is filed under the name Phellodon melaleucus. RNAcentral describes it as "eukaryotic LSU rRNA". It matches the Rfam family "Eukaryotic large subunit ribosomal RNA", at positions 1 to 572 of the family's 3401-position model. The record is from RNAcentral. Lineage: Eukaryota; Fungi; Basidiomycota; Agaricomycetes; Thelephorales; Thelephoraceae.